Molecule: ribosomal RNA, 401 nt
Filed under: uncultured bacterium
Lineage: Bacteria
Description: bacterial SSU rRNA
Rfam family: Bacterial small subunit ribosomal RNA
Source: RNAcentral
AAUGAACGCUGGCGGCGUGCUUAACACAUGCAAGUCGAGCGAGGCCAGGGGGGCAACCCCCUGAGUCGAGCGGCGGACGGGUGAGUAACACGUGGGUAACCUACCCGGAAGUGGGGAAUACCUCGGGGAAACUCGAGCUAAUACCGCAUGACAUCUUUGGGACGAAAGUCCUGACGAUCAAAGCGGGGUCGCAAGAUCUCGCGCUACCGGAUGGGCCCGCGCCCGAUUAGCUAGUUGGUGAGGAACGGCUCACCAAGGCUUCGAUCGGUAACCGGCCUGAGAGGGCGAUCGGUCACACCGGAACUGAGACACGGUCCGGACUCCUACGGGAGGCAGCAGUGGGGAAUCUUGCGCAAUGGGCGAAAGCCUGACGCAGCAACGCCGCGUGGAGGAAGAAGGCC